RNAcentral lists this transfer RNA (71 nucleotides) under Phrynosoma platyrhinos (Desert horned lizard). RNAcentral's name for it is "tRNA-OTHER". Lineage: Eukaryota; Metazoa; Chordata; Lepidosauria; Squamata; Phrynosomatidae. The record is from RNAcentral.
GCCAGUGUGGCCUAGUGGUUUGAGUGUUGGACUAUGACUCUGGAAACCAGGGUUCAAUCCCCAGCUUGUCC